RNAcentral lists this ribosomal RNA (468 nucleotides) under uncultured bacterium. RNAcentral describes it as "partial 16S ribosomal RNA". It matches the Rfam family "Bacterial small subunit ribosomal RNA", at positions 28 to 507 of the family's 1533-position model. The record is from RNAcentral.
GACGAACGCUGGCGGCGUGCUUAACACAUGCAAGUCGAACGGAAAGGCCCUGCUUUUGUGGGGUGCUCGAGUGGCGAACGGGUGAGUAACACGUGAGUAACCUGCCCUUGACUUUGGGAUAACUUCAGGAAACUGGGGCUAAUACCGGAUAGGAGCUCCUGCUGCAUGGUGGUGGUUGGAAAGUUUCGGCGGUUGGGGAUGGACUCGCGGCCUAUCAGCUUGUUGGUGGGGUAGUGGCUUACCAAGGCUUUGACGGGUAGCCGGCCUGAGAGGGUGACCGGCCACAUUGGGACUGAGAUACGGCCCAGACUCCUACGGGAGGCAGCAGUGGGGAAUAUUGCACAAUGGGCGGAAGCCUGAUGCAGCAACGCCGCGUGCGGGAUGACGGCCUUCGGGUUGUAAACCGCUUUCGCCUGUGACGAAGCGUGAGUGACGGUAAUGGGUAAAGAAGCACCGGCUAACUACGUG